RNAcentral lists this long non-coding RNA (255 nucleotides) under Vigna radiata. Its description in RNAcentral is "long non-coding RNA (VRAD_LNC014299)". The record is from RNAcentral. Lineage: Eukaryota; Viridiplantae; Streptophyta; Magnoliopsida; Fabales; Fabaceae.
CCUCUUUUUUCCCAUGGGCCCCCUCUCCAAUUCUAUCCAAAAUCCCCCAAGAAAAUGAGAAUCUGCGCGCAUCCAAAAUUGUGACACCUUCUUUUUGCUUGAUGCCACCCCUACCAAUUGAAGCACACCUCUCCAAGCCACCUGGACCGUGGUAUGUAAUUAUGCUCGAUGCACCUCCAUUUUAUUUCAUGAUGCAGUAACGUGGGUGCUAAUUCCCUGCAUGGACAACACCACUUUCUGCUAAAUGCACCUCCC